Long non-coding RNA from Lycium barbarum (goji berry), 754 nucleotides. RefSeq lists it as uncharacterized. The transcript has 3 exons. NCBI's taxonomy places the organism in Eukaryota, Viridiplantae, Streptophyta, Magnoliopsida, Solanales, Solanaceae. The record is from RefSeq and is a predicted model, not a curated record.
AUCUAAAACAAAAUGGGUUGAGCCCAUAAUAAGGCCCAACCCCAAAUAAAGAAAAACAACAUGGUCUGUCUAACUUUUGUCCUAAAUCACAUUUAGGAAAGUAAACUCUAUGCCCUAAUUUGCAUUUGCUGAUAUGCGCCGGUGUGGAAAUGACGAAGUUGCCCGAGUUUGUAACUCUCCCUGUUCGCUUGAUUUGAUCCACUCCUCCAUUCCUUGCUCUUUUGUGCUGUUAAUGUUGAAAUCGAUGUAAGUACGUCUUUUUCAACAUCUUUUGCUUUGUGUUGGAUUUCCAAAUUUUUGAGAGAUUUGAACCUUGUUCUUGUUCCGCAUGUACUGAUUCUGUGCUCGAGCUACUGAGUCGAUCUCUCCCUGAGUUGAUCUUGAUGUUUCCAUCUCCACUCAACUUGGUGCACAGGAAGACAGGCUUGAUCCAUAGCGGUAUUCUCAGAGAGCACCUAGCAGAGCUCCAUUUCAUUCGAAGCCAUAGCUUUUAGAGUAUCAGGCCGGAUCUACUUCUCUGACUCGUAGCUGAUCGACUGCUCAACUUCUACUUGAGUUUUCCAGGGUGAGCAUGGUGUCCGCUAAGCUCGAAGACUCUUCUAUUAUUUAUGUCUUACUUUUCUUCCAAGAAAUGAAUUGAGACAUUUAAUAUAUUUUUAUUCAGACCAGAGUUAUUCGGAUGUAGAUGCUCUUGUAUGACUAAACCAGAUACUGGGGUUCAUUUACUUUCGGACUUAUCUAUAUUAUGCUAUAU